RNAcentral lists this ribosomal RNA (788 nucleotides) under uncultured Alteromonas sp. RNAcentral's name for it is "bacterial SSU rRNA". It matches the Rfam family "Bacterial small subunit ribosomal RNA", at positions 84 to 874 of the family's 1533-position model. Lineage: Bacteria; Pseudomonadati; Pseudomonadota; Gammaproteobacteria; Alteromonadales; Alteromonadaceae. The record is from RNAcentral.
UUCACUAGUGAUUGGCGGACGGGUGAGUAAUGCUUGGGAACUUGCCUUCGGGAGGGGGAUAACAGUUGGAAACGACUGCUAAUACCGCAUAACGUCUACGGACCAAAGCGGGCUUCGGCUCGCACCUGAAGAGAGGCCCAAGUGAGAUUAGCUAGUUGGUAAGGUAACGGCUUACCAAGGCAACGAUCUCUAGCUGUUCUGAGAGGAAGAUCAGCCACACUGGGACUGAGACACGGCCCAGACUCCUACGGGAGGCAGCAGUGGGGAAUAUUGCACAAUGGGGGAAACCCUGAUGCAGCCAUGCCGCGUGUGUGAAGAAGGCCUUCGGGUUGUAAAGCACUUUCAGUUGUGAGGAAAGGUUGGUAGUUAAUACCUGCCAGCUGUGACGUUAACAACAGAAGAAGCACCGGCUAACUCCGUGCCAGCAGCCGCGGUAAUACGGAGGGUGCGAGCGUUAAUCGGAAUUACUGGGCGUAAAGCGCACGCAGGCGGUUUGUUAAGCUAGAUGUGAAAGCCCCGGGCUCAACCUGGGAUGGUCAUUUAGAACUGGCAGACUAGAGUCUUGGAGAGGGGAGUGGAAUUCCAGGUGUAGCGGUGAAAUGCGUAGAUAUCUGGAGGAACAUCAGUGGCGAAGGCGGCUCCCUGGCCAAAGACUGACGCUCAUGUGCGAAAGUGUGGGUAGCGAACAGGGUUAGAUACCCUGGUAGUCCACACCGUAAACGCUGUCUACUAGCUGUGUGUGUAUUUAAUACGUGCGUAGCGAAGCUAACGCGAUAAGUAGACCGCCU